RNAcentral lists this long non-coding RNA (369 nucleotides) under Rattus norvegicus (Norway rat). RNAcentral describes it as "long non-coding RNA NONRATT019659". The record is from RNAcentral. Lineage: Eukaryota; Metazoa; Chordata; Mammalia; Rodentia; Muridae.
AACAGAGAGCUGUAGUAGAAGAGCGUCGACAGAAGACUCUCCGGACGUAGAUUCCAGAGCAGCUUUGUUGCCGGAUUGGUUACGAGAUAGACCAACAAACAGAGAAAUGCCAUCUGAAGGAGGAACAUUAAAUGGCUCUUCACAAUUUGAUAUUGCCUGCUUCUGUAGCUUCACCUCCUUCAGGUCUUGCUUCUCCAUUUAAACCUGUUUUGGAUACAAAUUACUAUUAUUCAGCUGUGGAAAGAAAUAACCUGAUGAGGCUGUCGCAGAGUAUUCCCUUCGUUCCUGUACCUCCACGAGGUGAGCCUGUCACAGUAUAUCGUCUGGAGGAGAGUUCUCCCAGUAUACUGAAUAACAGCAUGUCUUCUU